Molecule: non-coding RNA, 119 nt
Organism: Nematostella vectensis (starlet sea anemone)
Lineage: Eukaryota; Metazoa; Cnidaria; Anthozoa; Actiniaria; Edwardsiidae
Source: Rfam
GUCUACGGCCAUACCAUCGAGAAAACACCGGUUCUCGUCCGAUCACCGAAGUUAAGCUCGAUUGGGCGCGGUUAGUACUUGGAUGGGUGACCGCCUGGGAAUACCGCGUGCUGUAGGCA